Molecule: unclassified non-coding RNA, 253 nt
Filed under: uncultured Pseudobdellovibrionaceae bacterium
Lineage: Bacteria; Pseudomonadati; Bdellovibrionota; Bdellovibrionia; Bdellovibrionales; Pseudobdellovibrionaceae
Description: uncultured Bdellovibrionaceae bacterium contains 16S-23S intergenic spacer region
Rfam family: Bacterial small subunit ribosomal RNA
Source: RNAcentral
UACGAAGGGUGCAAGCGUUAAUCGGAAUUACUGGGCGUAAAGCGGGUGUAGGCGGCACCGCAAGUCAGAUGUGAAAGCCCAGGGCUCAACCCUGGAACUGCAUUUGAUACUGCGGUGCUUGAGUACUGGAGAGGAUAGCGGAAUUCCUGGUGUAGUGGUGAAAUACGUAGAUAUCAGGAGGAACAUCGGUGGCGAAGGCGGCUAUCUGGCCAGAUACUGACGCUCAGACCCGAAAGCGUGGGGAGCAAACAGG